CCUACGGGCGGCUGCAGUGAGGAAUAUUGGUCAAUGGGCUUACGCCUGAACCAGCCAAGUCGCGUGAGGGAAGACUGCCCUAUGGGUUGUAAACCUCUUUUGUCAGGGAGCAACGCCGGCUACGUGUAGCCGGCCUGAGAGUACCUGCAGAAAAAGCAUCGGCUAACUCCGUGCCAGCAGCCGCGGUAAUACGGAGGAUGCGAGCGUUAUCCGGAUUUAUUGGGUUUAAAGGGUGCGUAGGCGGCUUGAUAAGUUAGAGGUGAAAUGUCCGAGCUUAACUCGGGAACUGCCUCUAAUACUGUUGAUCUAGAGAGUAGAUGCGGUAGGCGGAAUGUAUGGUGUAGCGGUGAAAUGCUUAGAGAUCAUACAGAACACCGAUUGCGAAGGCAGCUUACCAAGCUAUAUCUGACGUUGAGGCACGAAAGCGUGGGGAGCAAACAGGAUUAGAUACCCGGGUAGUC
This 461-nucleotide ribosomal RNA is filed under the name uncultured bacterium. RNAcentral describes it as "partial 16S ribosomal RNA". It matches the Rfam family "Bacterial small subunit ribosomal RNA", at positions 338 to 795 of the family's 1533-position model. The record is from RNAcentral.